Molecule: ribosomal RNA, 720 nt
Filed under: Bacillus amyloliquefaciens
Lineage: Bacteria; Bacillati; Bacillota; Bacilli; Caryophanales; Bacillaceae
Description: bacterial SSU rRNA
Rfam family: Bacterial small subunit ribosomal RNA
Source: RNAcentral
UCGAGCGGACAGAUGGGAGCUUGCUCCCUGAUGUUAGCGGCGGACGGGUGAGUAACACGUGGGUAACCUGCCUGUAAGACUGGGAUAACUCCGGGAAACCGGGGCUAAUACCGGAUGGUUGUUUGAACCGCAUGGUUCAGACAUAAAAGGUGGCUUCGGCUACCACUUACAGAUGGACCCGCGGCGCAUUAGCUAGUUGGUGAGGUAACGGCUCACCAAGGCGACGAUGCGUAGCCGACCUGAGAGGGUGAUCGGCCACACUGGGACUGAGACACGGCCCAGACUCCUACGGGAGGCAGCAGUAGGGAAUCUUCCGCAAUGGACGAAAGUCUGACGGAGCAACGCCGCGUGAGUGAUGAAGGUUUUCGGAUCGUAAAGCUCUGUUGUUAGGGAAGAACAAGUGCCGUUCAAAUAGGGCGGCACCUUGACGGUACCUAACCAGAAAGCCACGGCUAACUACGUGCCAGCAGCCGCGGUAAUACGUAGGUGGCAAGCGUUGUCCGGAAUUAUUGGGCGUAAAGGGCUCGCAGGCGGUUUCUUAAGUCUGAUGUGAAAGCCCCCGGCUCAACCGGGGAGGGUCAUUGGAAACUGGGGAACUUGAGUGCAGAAGAGGAGAGUGGAAUUCCACGUGUAGCGGUGAAAUGCGUAGAGAUGUGGAGGAACACCAGUGGCGAAGGCGACUCUCUGGUCUGUAACUGACGCUGAGGAGCGAAAGCGUGG